GACGAACGCUGGCGGCGCGCUUAACACAUGCAAGUCGAACGGAAAGGCCUGCUUUCCCUUGUGGAUUGCGGGUACUCGAGUGGCGAACGGGUGAGUAACACGUGAGUGAUCUGCCCCCAACUUGGGUAUAAGCCUGGGAAACUGGGUCUAAUUCCCGAUAGGACUGCAGGGUGGUGCCUGUGGUGGAAAACGAUUUUCUAGUGGUUGGGGAUGAGCUCGCGGCCUAUCAGCUUGUUGGUGGGGUAAUGGCCUACCAAGGCGGCGACGGGUAGCCGGCCUGGGAGGGUGGACGGCCACAUUGGGACUGAGAUACGGCCCAGACUCCUACGGGAGGCAGCAGUGGGGAAUAUUGCACAAUGGGCGGAAGCCUGGUGCAGCGACGCCGCGUGGGGGAUGACGGCCUUCGGGUUGUAAACUCCUUUCGACCGCGAGGAAGCCACCUGGUUGGAAGGGUGGUGACGGUAGUGGUAGAAGAAGCACCGGCUAACUACGUG
Molecule: ribosomal RNA, 494 nt
Filed under: uncultured bacterium
Lineage: Bacteria
Description: partial 16S ribosomal RNA
Rfam family: Bacterial small subunit ribosomal RNA
Source: RNAcentral